RNAcentral lists this ribosomal RNA (492 nucleotides) under uncultured bacterium. RNAcentral's name for it is "partial 16S ribosomal RNA". It matches the Rfam family "Bacterial small subunit ribosomal RNA", at positions 29 to 507 of the family's 1533-position model. The record is from RNAcentral.
AGUGAACGCUGGCGGUAGGCCUAACACAUGCCAGUCGAACGGCAGCACAGUAAGAGCUUGCUCUUACGGGUGGCGAGUGGCGGACGGGUGAGGAAUACAUCGGAAUCUACUUUUUCGUGGGGGAUAACGUAGGGAAACUUACGCUAAUACCGCAUACGACCUACGGGUGGAAGCAGGGGAUCUUCGGACCUUGCGCGAUUGAAUGAGCCGAUGUCGGAUUAGCUAGUUGGCAGGGUAAAGGCCCACCAAGGCGACGAUCCGUAGCGGGUCUGAGAGGAUGAUCAGCCACACUGGAACUGAGACACGGUCCAGACUCCUACGGGAGGCAGCAGUGGGGAAUAUUGGACAAUGGGCGCAAGCCUGACCCAGCCAUACCGCGUGGGUGAAGAAGGCCUUCGGGUUGUAAAGCCCUUUUGUUGGGAAAGAAAAGCAGUAGGUUAAUACCCCGCUGUUCUGACGGUACCCAAAGAAUAAGCACCGGCUAACUUCGUG